Molecule: ribosomal RNA, 425 nt
Filed under: uncultured bacterium
Lineage: Bacteria
Description: partial 16S ribosomal RNA
Rfam family: Bacterial small subunit ribosomal RNA
Source: RNAcentral
GUGGGGAAUAUUGGACAAUGGGCGCAAGCCUGAUCCAGCCAUGCCGCGUGAGUGAUGAAGGCCUUAGGGUUGUAAAGCUCUUUCAGUGGGGACGAUAAUGACGGUACCCACAGAAGAAGCCCCGGCUAACUUCGUGCCAGCAGCCGCGGUAAUACGAAGGGGGCUAGCGUUGUUCGGAUUUACUGGGCGUAAAGCGCACGUAGGCGGAUCGUUAAGUCGGUGGUGAAAUCCUGGAGCUCAACUCCAGAACUGCCUUCGAUACUGGCGAUCUUGAGUCCGGAAGAGGUGAGUGGAACUCCUAGUGUAGAGGUGGAAUUCGUAGAUAUUAGGAAGAACACCAGUGGCGAAGGCGGCUCACUGGUCCGGUACUGACGCUGAGGUGCGAAAGCGUGGGGAGCAAACAGGAUUAGAAACCCUGGUAGUCC